GCAAUCUCAAAGAAGAAGACAAGCGCCCUGAUUUUGAUGGCCCUCAUAGUCAUGGCCACUGUCCUCUCCUCAUGCAACGCAAACAAUGAGGUUAUGUUACAUCCAUCCCUUUUCUCACCCCAUGAAGACAACUUCAUGCGCAUUCUAUAAUAGUGAACUCCCCAUAAAAUUUAUAUAUAUCUAGUAUUGGGGAAACAUAAGAUGGUGAAUAACCUUCCACAAAAUUGGCCUCACAAUGUGUGUUUUUGUGUUUGCGGAUACAGAUAGAUGCUCUCCCCCUACCCGAUAAAUGCUACAGCACGGGACUCCCUAACUGCACAAAGGAGGCGUGCAAGAAACUUUGCAACAGCCCAGGGGGGUAUUGCAGGCUCGCAUCCGACUGUUGUUGCCCUGUUUCCUAAAUGGGGCUGAAAUGAUACAAAGAUGCCAUGAAUAAUUCAAUGCAUGUAUGGAUUAUAUAUGUUAGUUCUAGCAUAUCGAUAUAAAUCCUUUUUAUCAUCUUCAGAAUUUACAAAUGAAAAAAGCUUGUUGUUUCUUUAGUUCUGCAAUGGCUGGUGUUGAUCACGAAUUAGAGUUAUAACCUACCUAAAUACAACAUGUGAAACAAAAUGAAAACAUGAAAAAAAUCUAAACCAUCUCGGAGAUGAAUUUCAGAAGGAAAAAACACAUGUGAUCGCUAUAAACACCUAAAUAACCCAACAAUUUUCUCACAUGACAUUCCAACCUAUUAAUGAUAGCUUCCUCUUUUAUCAUGACAGUCAACCAUCAAGGUACACCAAAUCUGAAUGCUGCAAGAUGUUAUAUUUUCGUUCACUAAAUGGAUUUACAAAAUGUGGUAAUGUAAAUUAGCAUUCUUAAACAAUCAAAGUUGCAAACCUUUGAAAAUUAAAAAAAUCUUCUACAGGUCAAUUGAUCAAUUGAAGCAAAUCCAAGGGUAGCAGUUUGCAAUAUAUUGCAGACUACUCUGCUCGCCUAUGUUUUGGUGGCCCCAUUUAAAGAUCAUAUACACUACUGUUGAGACUCAGCAUGUGACAGUGACUCUUUAUCGGAAAAAAACAUGUGACAAUGACUAUUUCUGUUUCAAUUAAAUUUUGUGCAAGUGUAAAAAAUAAAAAUAAAACAAUGGAAUUUGUGCUCAGAACAUGCGAUCAAUUUAUGUAUUAUGCCCGGGGUUUUGCCCAAAUCAUGCAGUGACUAUCUUGGGGGAACGAUUGCUUAGACAAAUGGGACGGGUCGGUGUUUGUGUCCUACUUUAAAAAGAGGAAAAAGUUAUGUCGUUCGUUCGGCCUUGGUCCAAUCUUAUCUAUGGGACCCCUUCCUCCCAUCUUUGAUUUUUUCUUCAUCGGUUUCUCCAGAAAACCGCUUCAACUAACCCACCUUUUAUUCUGUUACCAAAUAAGCUUAUAUUCUCUUUGAUAGCCAAUAAGUACUUGCCAAAUAAGUGUUUAUCAAAUAAAAGUCUACUUUUACACAAUCACAUUAACAUAAGCAGCUAAAUCAUGGGCCUACUCAUAUUACGUUAGCGACGUUCCCAGGGAAAAUCUGAAACUCUGUUUCUCGUACGUCCGAUCUCAAACGAGCGCACCACAUCGGAAGUGGGAUGGAACCAAGCUACUUAAACAUGACUUUGCAGAAGACCCCAUAUACCUCACAAUUCUAACCGGCGGCUCCUCAAACUUCUCAGUUUGUAUUCCCCACGAGACAACGAAAACUAUAAUAAACUAAAGAAAACAUAGGGUAGAGAUCCUAAAAUCUAAACAAGUGACAAUGUUCACUACUGUAAAAACAGACCCACCUGGCAUCUAUACAACAGUUCUAUACUUGCAUAAGAGUAAAUCUGAAACACUUGGACGCAGACUAUCUGCUCCCGAGCUCAAAUGCCCUCUUAUGAACAAAUAAAUAAAAAAUAGUAAGAUAAUCAAAAUAUUCUGUUUUUUUGGCAAACUUUGACAAAUGUUCCGUGUGCUUAUGAAAAAUUAUCAUGAAAUGACAUUUGUGGAAGUCAGGGAGAAAAAAGAUGCUCCAAAAAUACUACUCUAAUUUUGAAAGCAUUUUGGAGUGUGGAUUUUGUUUUUCUUUUCUUUUGCCAUGAUUUCCAGGAAUGUCAUAUUGAGAUGAAAUUUGUUAAGCAUUGAGAACAUUUGUCAAAGUUUUCUACAAAGAAAUCAUUUUUUUGUUUUACUGUUCAUCCUGAGCCCAUUUGAGCUCGGGAGCAGAAAGGGACUUUCAGAGACACUUCUAUAACAUGCACGCACACUUGCUUCCCUUUUAGAUGUUGAUGAAUAGUUGUUGCACGCCAGUUAUUAUUUCAUUGGUGGAAGUACAACCUCUUUAUCUUAAUAUAAGAUGUUUUGGCAGUUCAAAUUGAACUACCUUUGUAUCUCUCUUAAUAUAAGGUACAGAGAUAAAAGCAAUGAUCAGUACGUACCCAUCUGCGAACUGAUGGUGCAUAUAACAAGAAAACUAAACAACGAUAACUACAAACUAGGAUACACUCAGUCGUGAAGUCACAAGUUACAACCGUUAACAUUGCUCACUGCAUCCAUCAAGUGUGCUUGUCAGGUAACAUCCUGUCAAGGUUUAACACCACUAAUCUCAACGAGCAAGCAAGUGCAUACUACUACUAUCCAAGAUACACAAAGAAACCCCAAUUACAUCAACUCAAGGCUCAACACUGAUCUAGGACUGCAUGGCGGACGUCAUCCCAUCUGCUUCCCGGCACUAAACAUAGUACGGCUCUGAAACUCCAUCAACAAAAUGGGAAUGAGUUAAGGAACCCAAUAUUGGCAUAGCAAAAUGAAGACUACACUAUGCAAAGUAAAUAACUGGAUCUAACAUAAUUAAUGCAUAUAAUAUAUAAUACUCCCUUCGUAAACUAACAUAAGAGCGUUUUGAUCACUACUUUAGUAAUCUAAACACUCUUAUAUUAGUUUACAAAGGGAGUAGUAAUUUUAUACAAUUGAUAGAUAACGGGAAUCAAAUUACAGAAGCUUGAAGGAGAUACGCAAGCUGGAGAAGUUCUCUGCUUUUGAGCUCAAAGUGAAGAAGCUGGUUGCACCGUUCAUCAUGGAGCAGAAGCACUAUUUCAAAAACUAGAACUGUUCCAUGGAUAAUUACUAGCAGUACUAUUUCAAAAUCAACCAUAUUCUUAAAAUUUCAUACCUAAUAGUAUUGUAGUGCGGUUACGUUGUUAUCCUUUUUUCCGCUGGUUGCUACCGAUGUUGAAAAAGAGUGGAGUUCAUGUUAUCUCAUAUAACCUAUCAAACCAUAAUGGAUAAGUAGCUACUCCAUUUGAUACACUCCUAGCAUUGGGUAUGUCAUAGCAGUUUUUGUACUGUUCAUGAAACAAUAUUGUCAACUUUUUUUUUGUCGAAGCUUACCGUGAAAGAAUGAACUGCAAAAAAUGUUUUUAGUCAUAGUACUUCCUGUGUUAUGGAAGUGUCAAUCGCCUCAUGUCUUCAUGGUGACAACUACAAUGGAAGCUAUAAAGAUAUUUUGAGUUACUUUUGUUUUCAAGCAUCAACUAGGUACCACAUGCAGGGGUCUUCAUGGUUAUAGCUAUAAAGAUAUUUGCUUCUUGCACGACCAAUAUAACUCCAGAAUCCAUUGUAACUUGUCAUUUUCAGCACCUUAUAAGGUAAUCUUAAGUUGUCAUCAUGAAGACACCACUAUUUUUAUUCACUUACAGUUUUUUUACUUGAGUUUUGUCAUCUCACAGGAAUGAUAGAAAUAGAGGGUUCAUGAUCAAAAAAGAAGGUAGGAUCAAAGGGUAGAUGAAGUAGAGGCAUAAAACUGCCAUUUAUCAUUGUUUUCGUUCAGUAGGAUUGCUUUUGAGGUAAUAUAUGAGACUACCAAGUGGUGUCUCAAAUGAAUUUGCAUAUAGUUAUACUUAGAUCUUAUCUGCAAAAUCUACUCAGGAAUAAGUGAAUGAGAUUAGAAGGGAUCAAGUACUUUUGUACAGACUUGUUCAUUUGAAGUACAUUUCACUAUAGCUAUUAUGCACUUCUGUUUACUUUUCUUGUACAGGUACAUCUUAAGGUGAGUACCUUCUAGACAAACCAAAACGAAUGAAGCCGUUCACAUCUUUUGAUGUUAAAAUUCAUACUUUUGAAGAUAUCGUAGUAACUUGCGUCUGAGCUGUGCAUGGUAUGUCUGAAGAAAAAGUUCCGCUAGCACAUAUUUUAUGGUAUUGGAGAAAAGGAAAAUUCACUUAUAGAGUGUUUUCCAGUUUUACAUAAUUCACGAGUUGUUCACAUGAAAUCUGAAUAUUAUUUUUCUUUUGUUUGACAGCGAGUGCUACUGAACAUGCCAAGGAGGGUCAUGUACUGAUUCAACUUCUUUGGCUAGGAGAAGAAUAGUGUAUUCAUUAUCUAUACAUAGACGAUGGGCGGUAGGUAUGUCUACAUCGACAUUAUAUGUUAUACCAUCCCAGUCUAAGAGAAUAGCAAUAUAGGCACUACUUUUAAUGUGGCUUUACAGACCUAUAAUUUAAACUCUCAAGCAAAUUGUCUUCGCAAUUUGGGUUAUACAAGAUUGUUGUCAGACCAUUAUAAUAUGUAAGUUCCCGUUGCAAAGCAUAGGCAAUUAACUAGUAGAGAUGAAAAGGGAUAUCUCAAAACCUUUGUGCGUGGAAUUACUCUCCAUUUAAAGGCGGGGGAAGGGGGAAGAGGGGAGUGGGGAUGAGGAAGACAUAAAGGAUAUUAAUUGGGAAAAUGAAGAGGAGGUAGACAGGGAGAAUGUUGAUAAUAAUAUUUAAAAAAAGAUGGUGCUAUUUCCAGUACGAGCACUUGCCCAAUUUCUGCUACAUGUGCGGCCUGAUUGGGCAUGUUGACUGUAGUUGUAGCAUAAAACUCAAGAAGGGACAUAAACAAGUCUUUGGAAGAAAUAUGUAUGCUCUAGGACCCUUGAAGGGUACUGGUGAAGAGUUCAUGGAAAGAGGGGGAGAAGGAAGGAACUCCAGGAAUGGACAAUGGCGUUUCAGCAACUCAGGCAGCAGGCCAGUGAGUGAGUCAGGCUCGUGGAGAAAAUCUGAUGGUAGAGCAGGAGCGACAGAUGGUUCUUUCCAAAGAUCUCUUCUGUCCCUAGGUGGAAGCCUCCUAAUGGUGAUAGUAUUAAGAUCAAUAUUGAUGGUUCUUUUCAUGUUGAUAACAAUUGUGGUGGAUGAGGUGAUGUUUUGCAUUCCAAAAAGAAAAGGUUUACAUUCAAAAUGCAAUGAAAAGGAAGGACAUAAACAUCACUAACCACAUCUCUUGUAGACUACCGCUGGAAUCUGUGUCACAUACCUUGCUUCUGCAAAUCCUAAGCGCUGUUCAUGAACACCGGCUUCAUUGCCCACGCAGUCAGUUGUGACACCUUGAUGUCUGCCUUGACGUUGUUCAAGACGUGAAGGCGCGCCUCAUCACGGCGGGCAAGCAUCCGGUAGACACGAGAGAGGAUGCAGGUCCUCCCUCCUGCCCCAAAGCUCUCAACGACUGACCCGUCAAUCUGCGAAGGAAAUGGAGAGGAAAAGUAAGAGAAAACACUUUCUAAACUUGUAUAGCAUGAGGACCUGUUGAAUGGUAGCAUAUCAAGCUUCUAAGGGAUAUCUUGCCCUUUGUGAUGUCAGUAUCAACAAAACCUGCGAAGGUCGGCUUGUACAGGUUCUGGCUCAGAGAUGACCUGAACCAGACAAAGAAGCCCAAUGUCAAAUCAGCGCUAGCAAAUUUGUGUAUGUUACAUGCAUGAGAUGAUGAAUUUAAGGGAUGAAUGAGAAUCAGGAGAUGACAUUAGAAGGUGGGGUCGGAGCACAUCAGGACCACCAGCUUCGUGCUGUUGAUGUUAUGUGCGGCCUUGAAGUGAACACCCGGAAGAAGACCACUGUUCUAUCCUCCAUCUUGGAGGAGGCGAGCACCCACAGGCCAAAGGGUCCCACACCACCUUCCACAUCCGCGCCCCUCACGCCGCACAACUUCUGGGCGUCGUUGGCUAGCGCUGGGUCCAGUGCCUCCACUCCCUCCAGGCACGGUGAUACGUCUCCAACGUAUCUAUAAUUUAUGAAGCAUUCAUGCUAUUUUAUUAUCUGUUUUGAAUGAUUAUGGGCUUUAUUAUACACUUUUAUAUUACUUUUGGGACUAACCUAUUAACCGGAGGCCCAGCCCAUAUUGUUGUUUUAUUGCCUAUUUCAGUAUUUCGAAGAAAAGGAAUAUCAAACGGAGUCCAAACAGAAUGAAACUUUCGGCAACGUCAUUUUUUGGAAGAUUAUCAUCCUGGAGACUUGGAGUCCACGUCAGAAGAUACUCUAGGAGCCCAGGAGAUAGGGGGCGCCCCCGCCCCCCUACUGGGCGCGCCCCCUGCCUCGUGGACCCCUCGAGCACCCCCCCGACCUACUUCUUUCGCCUAUAUAAGCCUACGUACCCUAAAACCAUUGAAUAUCAAGAUAGAUCGGGAGUUCCGUCGCCGCAAGCCUCUGUAGCCACCAAAAACCUCUCGGGAGCCCUUCCUGGCACCCUACAGGAGGGAGGAUCCUUCACCUGUGGCCAUCUUCAUCAUCCCGGCGCUAUCCAUGACGAGGAGGGAGUAGUUCACCCUCGAGGCUGAGGGUAUGUACCAGUAGCUAUGUGUUUGAUCUCUCUCUCUCAUGUUCUCUCUCGUGUUCCCUCUAUGGCACGAUCUUGAUGUAUCCCGAGCUUUGAUAUUGUAGAUGGAUCUUAUGAUGUUUCUCCCCCUCUACUCUCUUGGAUGAAUUGAGUUGAAGUUAUCUUAUCGGAUUGAGUCUUUUAUGAGAACACUUGAUGUAUGUCUUGUCGUGCUUAUCUGUGGUGACAAUGGGAUAUCAUGUGCCACUUGAUGUAUGUUUUGGUGACCAACUUGCGGGUUCCUCCCACGAACCUAUGCAUAAGGGUUGGCACACGUUCUUGACUCUUCGGUAGAAACUUUGGGGCACUCUUUGAAGUACUUUGUGUUGGUUGAAUAGAUGAAUCUGAGAUUGUGUGAUGCAUAUCAUAUAAUCAUGCCCACGAAUACUUGAGGUGACAAUGGAGUAUCUAGGUGACAUUAGGGUUUUUGUUGAUUUGUGUCUUAAGGUGUUAUUCUAGUACGAACACUUGAAUAGAUUGAUAUGAAAGAAUAACUUUGAGGUGGUUUAGUACCCUACCAUAAUCUCUUCGUUUGUUCUCUGCUAUUAGUGUCUUUGGUGUGACUCUUUGUUGCAUGUUGAGGGAUUGUUAUAUGAUCUAUCUAUGUUAUUAUUGUUGAGAGAACUUGCACUAGUGAAAGUAUGAACCCUAGGCCUUGUUUCCUAUCAUUGCAAUACCGUUUACGCUCACUUUUAUCGCUUACUACCUUGCUGUUUUUAUAAUUUCAGAUUACAAAUAUCUUUAUCUACCAUCCAUAUUGCACUUGUAUCACCAUCUCUUCGCCGAACUAGUGCACCUAUACAAUUUACCAUUGUAUUUGGUGUGUUGGGGACACAAGAGACUCUUUGUUAUUUGGUUGCAGGGUUGCUUGAGAGAGACCAUCUUCAUCCUACGCCUCCCACGGAUUGAUAAACCUUAGGUCAUCCACUUGAGGGAAAUUUGCUACUGUCCUACAAACCUGUGCACUUGCAGGCCCAACAACGUCUACAAGAAGAAGGUUGUGUAGUAGACAUCAAGCUCUUUUCUGGCGCUGUUGCCAAGGAGGUGAGUGCUUGAAGUAUAUCUUUAGAUCUCGCAAUCGAAUCUUUUUGUUUCUUGUUUUAUCACUAGUUUAGUUUAUAAAAGAAAACUACAAAAAAAUGGAGUUGAGUUUGUCUCAUACGCUUCAUCUUUUUAAUAUCUUUCGUGAGAAUGUUGGUAAGGAAAAUUGUGCUCAAGUGCUAGAAGAAGAAAUCUAUAAAAUGCUUGACACUAAAUCUUUAAAUGAUGAGCGUGAUUGCAAUGUUGUUAGUAUGAAUUCCUUGAAUAUCCCUGAUGCUAAUGAUAUGCAAAGCCACAAUCUUGGGGGAGCUACGUUUAAUGAAGAUGAUAUUUUUAGCAUCCCAAGUUUUGAUAUGCAAAGUUGUUAUGAUGAUAGCAUGCCUUGUACCUAUGAUGAUUACAUUGAUGAAAGUGGGUUUGGAAGAGUGUCAGCUUUACGAAGUAGUGAUCCCACUAUUUUGGAGGAUGUUGAAUCUUAUAAUAUUUAUGAAAGUGAAUUUGGAAGAGUGUCAACUUUAUUUAGUGAUGAUUCCACUAUUUUUGAAGAGGUUCCAAUUGAUUAUGAGAACAAAGUUGCUAUCUAUGAUGAUUAUUGUGAUGACUUGUAUGCUUUUAAGAAUAAUGAUAUCCAUGAAACUUGUCAUCAUGAUUUUAGUUUUCAAUUGGAUUAUGCCUCACAUGAUAGUUAUUUUGUUGAGUUUGCUCCCACUAUUAUUCAUGAGAAGAAAUUUGCUUAUGUGGAGAGUAGUAAAUUUUCUAUGCUAGUAGAUCAUGAAAAGAAUGAUUUAGGUGCUGGUUAUAUUGUUGAAUUCAUUCAUGAUGCUACUGAUAAUUAUUAUGAGGGAGGAAUAUAUGCUUGUAGGAAUUGCAAUAAUGUCAAGUUUCCUCUUUAUGUGUUGAAAAUCUUGAAGCUAUGCUUGUUUUACCUUCCUACGCUAGUUGAUUAUUGUUCCCAUAAGUUGUUUGCUCACAAAAUCCCUAUGCAUAGGAAGUGGGUUAGGCUUAAAUGUGCUAGUCAUAUGCUUCUUGAUGCUCCUGUUAUAUUUCAAUUCCUAUCUUUUAUGUGAGCAUCAUUGCCAUCAUCAUGCCUAGCUAAAAAUGCAUUAAAGAAAAGCGCUUGUUGGGAGACAACCCAAUAUUUAUCCUUACUGUUUUUGUGUGUCCACAUGAUUAUUCUACUGUAUUAAUCAUGUUUUAUAGCUUUUGUUUCAAUAAAGUGCCAAGUAGAGCCUUUGGGAAGACUUGGGUGAAGUCUAUGUGAUCUUGCUGUGAAAAACAGAAACUUUUGCGCUCACGAGAUUAGCUGCCAUUAUUUACUGGAGAGUGAUUUUAGGUUGAUUAUUUUUGCAGAUGAUUAAUAGACAAAUUACUCAGGUCCAGCAAUUUAUUUCAGAAUUGUUUGAGUUCCAUAAGUAUACGUUUGAUACAGAUUACUACAGACUGUUCUGUUUUUGACAGAUUAUGUUUUCAUUGUGUUGUUUGCUUAUUUUGAUGAAUCUAUGAGUAGUAUCGGAGGGUAUGAACCAUAGAGAAGUUACAAUACAGUAGAUAUUACACCAAUAUGAAUUUAUAAUGAGUUCAUUACAGUACCUAAGUGGUGGUUUUAUUUUCUUAUACUAACGGAGCUUACGAGUUUUGUGUUGAGUUUUGUGUGGUUGAAGUUUUCAAGUUUUGAGUAAAGAUUCGAUGGACUAUGGAAUAAGGAGUGGAAAGAGCCUAUGCUUGGGUAUGCCCAAGGCAUCCCAAGGUAAUAUUCAAGGACAACCAAGCAACUAAGCUUGGGGAUGCCCCGGAUGGCAUCCCCUCUUUCGUCUUCGUUCAUCGGUAACUUUACUUGGAGCUAUAUUUUUAUUCGCCACAUGCUAUGUGUUUUGCUUGGAUCAUAAUUUUCUUGUAUUAGUUAUUGAUUGCUGUUAGUUAGAAUAAUGUUUUGCAUCUAUAUUUUCAAUAAAAAAGUCAAGGAUAGCCUUUACCAUGCUUAUUUUGCUAGUAUACAUGUUGCUGUUUGAAAACAGAAAGUUUACCGCUGUUGCAAAAAUUCCCUAAAAAAGUCAGAGAAUGGUAUAAUGUUGAAUCUUUUUGCAUAUUGAGCUCUGAUAAAUUUAUUAUGGUGCUAAUUUUCUCUCAUAAUUUUUGGAGUUAGGUAACUAUUGAUACUCUUGCAUUCUUUACAGACUGUACUGUUUUGGCAGAUUGCUGUUAUGUUUGCAUUGUUUGCGUAUGUUUGCUUGUUUAAUGAUUCUAUUUGAGGAUAGGAGUAUUAAAUAUGCAGAGGCAUUUAGUAUUCAAUAUUGAAUAAUAAUUUUAGUGAUUUGUUAUAGUAGAAAAUGAUAAGGUUUUGCAUUGGUUUAUACUAACCCAUCUCACGAGUUCUUGUUGAGUUUGUUGUGAAUGAAGCUUUUGAUAAAAAGAGAAACCAUGAUAUGAGAGGAAUUAAGGAGACACAAAAGUUCAAGCUUGGGGAUGCCCAAGGCACCCCAAGAUAAUAUUUCAAGAAGUCUCAAGCAUCUAAGCUUGGGGAUGCCCCGGUAGGCAUCCCACCUUUCUUCUUCAACAAUCAUCGGUUAGUAUCGGUUGAGCCUAAGUUUUUGCUUCUUCACAUGAGUUGUUCUAUCCUUGCAAUGUCAUUUUAUUUUGUUUUUCUUGCUGCUUGAAUACAAUACCAAGAUCUGAAAUUCUUAAUUGAGAGAGAGUCUUCACAUAGUUGCAUAAUUAUUUAGCUACUCAUUGAUCUUCACUUAUAUUUUUUGGAGUAGUUUGUCAUUUACUUGUGUGCUUCACUUAUAUCCUAUGAGUAAAUGGUUGAAUGAGUUGAAUGUCAUAAAUCUGAAAUUAUAUAUGUCUCUUUUGCUUAUCCCAUGGGGAGUAAUGACUUCACAUCUAAGAAGUAGAGGUUGUAAAUUUAUUGACGGUUAGCAAGCAUUGUAUUGGUCAUUUGAACAAUUCAUGAAAGAAUAUUGAAGGAAGAGAGAUUUCACAUGUAAAUAUACUAUAUUGGACAUCUUUUAUAAUUGUGAGCACUCAUUAAGUAUGACAUGCUAAAGAGUUGAUGUUGGACAAGGAAGACAACGUAAUGGGUUAUGUUUUCUCACAUCUCAGUUAAAGUAUAUUGUCAUGGAUCAUUCAAACAUGUUGAGCUUGCCUUUCCCCCUCAUGCUAGCCAAAAUUCCUUGCACCAAGUAGAGAUACUACUUGUGCUUCCAAAUAUCCUUAAACCCAGUUUUUGCCAUGAGGGUCCACCAUACCUACCUAUGGAUUGAGUAAGAUCCUUCAAGUAAGUUGUCAUCGAUGCAUGCAAUAAAAAUUGCUCUAUAAAUAUACAUGACUUAUUAGUGUGAAGAAAAUAAGCUUUAUACGAUCUUGUUAUGGAAGCAAUAAAAGCGACGGACUGCAUAAUAAAGGUCCAUAUACAAGGGGCAAUAUAAAGUGACGUUCUUUCGCAUUAAGAUUUUUUGUAUCCAACCCUAAAAACGCAUGACAACCUCUGCUUCCCUCUACGAAGGGCCUAUAUUUUACUUUAUGCAAGAGUCAAGGUGAUCUUCACCUUUCCCUUUUUCAUUUUAUCCUUUGGCAAGCACUUUGUGGUGGGGUGAUCCUGAUAUAUAUAUCCAAUUGGAUGUACGUUAGCAUGAACUAUUAUUGUUGACAUCACCCAAAGGUGAAUACGUUUGGAGGCAACAUUAUAAGCCCCAAUCUUUCUUUGUGUCUGAUUAAAACUUCAUAACCACAAGUAUUGCGUGAGUGUUAGCAAUUGUAGAAGACUAUAUGAUAGUUGAGUAUGUGAAGUUUGCUAAAUCAAAGUUCUGACAUAGACUCUUCCUGAAAGUAAGAUGAAUUGCAAUUGUUUGAUGACUAAGAAUGAAGUUUGCUAGUUUUCAAGAAAGUUUAUGGUCUAUGCUUUAACAUGUGAAUUGCUUGUUACUAGUUCGUGAAAAGUUUUAUGAGAUGAACUACUGUUAUGACAUAUAAUGAUGCUAGUAAAGGUGAUUGAAAUUACCAUUGAUCAAACUUGUGCACCUCUAGCAUUCACACUUCAUAAAUUCUUUCUUUAGCAUUUACCUACUCGAGGACGAGUAGGAAUUAAGCUUGGGGAUGCUGAUAUGUCUCCAACGUAUCUAUAAUUUAUGAAGCAUUCAUGCUAUUUUAUUACCUGUUUUGAAUGAUUAUGGGCUUUAUUAUUCACUUUUAUAUUACUUUUGGGACUAACCUAUUAACUGGAGGCCCAGCCCAUAUUGCUGUUUUAUUGCCUGUUUCAGUAUUUCGAAGAAAAAGAAUAUCAAACGGAGUCCAAACGGAAUGAAACCUUCGGCAACGUGAUUUUUUGGAAGAUUAUCAUCCUGGAGACUUGGAGUCCAUGUCAGAAGAUACUCGAGGAGCCCAGGAGAUAGGGGGCGUGCCGCCCCCCCUACUGGGUGCGCCCCCCUGUCUCGUGGACCCCUCGAGCACCCAUCGACCGACUUCUUUCGCCUAUAUAAGCCUACGUACCCUAAAACCAUUGAAUAUCAAGAUAGAUCGGGAGUUCCGCCGCCGCAAGCCUCUGUAGCCACCAAAAACCUCUCGGGAGCCCUUCCCGGCACCCUGCCGGAGGGGGGAUCCUUCAUUGGUGGCCAUCUUCAUCAUGUCGGCACUAUCCAUGACGAGGAGGGAGUAGUUCACCCUCGAGGUUGAGGGUAUGUACCAGUAGCUAUGUGUUUGAUCUCUCUCUCUCGUGUUCUCUCUCGUGUUCCCUCUAUGGCACGAUCUUGAUGUAUCCUGAGCUUUGCUAUUGUAGUUGGAUCUUAUGAUGUUUCUCCCCCUCUACUCUCUUGUGAUGAAUUGAGUUUUCCCUUUGAAGUUAUCUUAUCGGAUUGAGUCUUUUAUGAGAACACUUGAUGUAUGUAUUGUCGUGCUUAUCUGUGGUGACAAUGGGAUAUUACGUGCCACUUGAUGUAUGUUUUGGUGACCAACUUGCGGGUUCCACCCAUGAACCUAUGCAUAGGGGUUGGCACACGUUCUUGACUCUCCGGUAGAAAAUUUGGGGCACUCUUUGAAGUACUUUGUGUUGGUUGAAUAGAUGAAUCUGAGAUUGUGUGAUGCAUAUCGUAUAAUCAUGCCCACGGAUACUUGAGGUGACAAUGGAGUGUCUAGGUGACAUUAGGGUUUUGGUUGAUUUGUGUCUUAAGGUGUUAUUCUAGUACGAACUCUUGAAUAGAUUGAUCCAAAAGAAUAACUUUGAGGUGGUUUCGUACCCUACCAUAGUCUCUUCGUUUGUUCUCCGCUAUUAGUGUCUUUGGAGUGACUCUUUGUUGCAUGUUGAGGGAUUGUCAUAUGACCUAUCUAUGUUAUUAUUGUUGAGAGAAAUUGCACUAGUGAAAGUAUGAACCCUAGGCCUUGUUUCCUAUCAUUGCAAUAUUGUUUACGCUUACUUUUAUCGCUUGCUACCUUGCUGUUUUUAUAAUUUCAGAUUACGAAAACCUUUAUCUACUAUCUAUUUUGCACUUGUAUUACCAUCUCUUCACCGAACUAGUGCACCUAUACAAUUUACCAUUGUAUUGGGUGUGUUGGGGACACAAGAGACUCUUUGUUAUUUGGUUGCAGGGUUGUUUGAGAGAGACCAUCUUCAUCCUACGCCUCCUACGGAUUGAUAAACCUUAGGUCAUCCACUUGAGGGGAAUUUGCUACUGUCCUACAAACUUGUGCACUUGCAGGCCCAACAACGUCUACAAGAAGAAGGUUGUGUAGUAGACAUCACUCGGUACCUCAAAGUUCACCUCAAUGUCAGCCUGACAAACCAAGUGCAUGCACAAGUUAGUUGGUUAUUAAUUAAUCAUGAACUGAUCACCACACUUACAGAAGUAUUUGUGACUUUGCGUUAAGCAAUCUUUGAAAAUUAGGUUGCAUAAGUACAGUUGGAGUCUUAUUCUGUUUAGUUAAUAAUAAGAAUUACAAAAGGGAACAAUAUGUUGGUCAAAUGUAUCUGGGUUAAGCAAUCUAAUCACAUCAGUUUAGUUGGAACCUUGGAGGUGUGCAUGCAAGGUCAAUAUGUACAGGACGGCAAGUCUUUAUUCUUUUUAGUUAAUUGAUCUUAUUCUUGUUAGUUAAUGGAGCAGAAUGCAUGACUGCAGAGUUGAGAUUAGAGUAGAGGACAGAUGUAGUGAAAUCUGCAGAGUACAAACAGAUGGACUCAGAAAAGAGAUACCUGUGGAGCACGGAGUAGAGUAGAGUAGAGUAGAGUGAAAAGUUAGCAAAUUGGCGGAGCGAGUGAUCGGCGUACACAAUCCCUAGCGAAUCCUCGUCUCACUGCCGUCGGCUGGCUUAGCCACGGUGGACAGAGCCUAAAGCCGUCACCCACAUCGGCUGAUGGGAGCCUCCCUCUAUGCCCAACCUAGACUCUAUAGCUCCUUCCCGCUGGUUUUUACCCCUGUCCUCCUAGCUCCCCUUUGUGAGAUGGGUGGGUUUGUAUCCAUCCAAUUCCCGUGGUGUACUAGUGUGGGAACCUUGUUUUCUUCUGUGCCCUCUGAGGCUCUGACUGUAGUGUCAAGUGGGUGGGUGUGGGGGAGGGGGAGGGGAAUCUGGGUCUGCUGCUGCGCGUGGGAAGAGGUAGGAAGCAGAGGAAGCUGCUCAGGGGUAGAAGGGGAUGGAGUCCAUGAUGGGACGCCUCAACAUCAUGGCUGAUGAGGUGGAUGUGGUAGAUAUGAAUAACGAGGAGACGCUACCGAUGAGGUGGUCACUGGUGUGCAAGGUGCUUUUGCCGUCUGUCAUCCACAUUCAGACAAUCAAGGUUGCAGUGAGGCCGGUAUGGGGUAACCCGAGAGGGCCGCGACUCAGAUCCUUAGGUAACAACCUUUUUGUUGUUGAUUUCGCGAGCUUGGGUGAAAGACUAUGCUCUUGAGGACUCUCCCUAGAUGGUCGGGCAGCACGGGGAUGUGGAUAAUUUUGGAGAUGCCUCUGGUAGCUUCCUUUAGGAGAGGGUCUCAGUUCCAGUUGAUCAACAACUCCGGAGAUGGGUGACAACGACGAAGCAGAGGGCUAUGGAAAAGUUUGAGUUGCAAUACGAGAAACUUCACUUCUACCUUAGUUGUGGGCUAAUUGGGCAUGGAGAUCUGGAGUGUCAUUUUCCUGCGGCUCGGGGCAAACUCCCGUUUGAUAGGAAGCUGAGAGCGCCUAAUGAUCGUAGAAAGAAACUUCAACCUUUCAGCCAGGCUGCUGCAACAUCGUCAUGGAAUAGUGACUACAGAGACCAUAGUGGCCGGAAAUCCAACCCUGGGUCUGCAUCCAUCCAUACCAACCAUGCAGAUGAGGGCUCUGGUUUGAAACCGGGUGAGGAGGAUGUUACCUCCCUAAACUCGAAAACUCAUGGUGGCGCCUGGCUGCUCAAGAGCGUUUAAAAUUGCAAAGAAGCUCUUUGAUGCUGGAGCGAGGAGGAGUUGAAGAUUCAGAAAUAACACAAGCUUAUGCAAGGAGGGCUGGAAGCUCUCGCAGUUGACAACCCUCACUCUGCCCUAGUCCUUACGCCAGUGCUGAAGGGGGAACACAACAACAAUGCUAUCAUGCUGAAUCUUGAUAACAAAGGAGAAAUGGCAAAAAAGCAGAAGAAUGACAAACCUGCAAACAACUCUCAUGUGGUGGUGGCUACCAGGGUUCAGCCCCGCCACCAUCAAUGAAUACUUAUGUUUUAACUGCCGGGACUGUGGGCGGUCCGAGGAAGUUCACGUCUUCACCAUAUGCACAACCUUGUGGAAACUCAUGACCCAGCUUUGGUCUUUCUUUCGGAGACAAAACUGAAUGCUACAAGAGCUCAAGAUUUGAAGUGGAGAAUUGGGAUGCAGAAUGCAAAAGCUGUGAGCAGUGUUGGCCUUAGUGGUGGGUUGGCUCUGCUCUGGAUGAAUGAUGUUCAUGUGCGGGUUCUAAAUCUAUCCACUUCGACAUUGACGACAUGGUGUGUGGUGAAGCCACUAGAGAAAAUGAAUAGAGAUUUACUGGGUUCUAUGGUAACCCAAACCGCCAAUUCAGAGGGGAUAGCUCAUGCUUGCCUCAGUUUUUACACCAGUAACAUGAUGAACCUUGGCUCUAUGCAGGGGAUUUUAGCGAGACACUUUGUGCUUCUGAAAGGUUUGGGGGUGAUGUCACGGAGGAAUGGAAAAUGGAGGGCUUUAGAGAGGCAACUGAUUUCUGCUCUUUCUCUGAUCUCAGUUAUGCGGGGCCGUGGUAUACUUGGGAUAAUCUGCAAUAUGGCAACUCAAUGUCAAAGUCCGCUUGGACAAGGCUCCUGGGUAUGUUAGCUUCCUGGAUGGCUUGAUGGCACUUCGGUUUCCCAUGUUCAAACUAUGGAGUCUGACCAUUGCGUCAUUCUGAUCACGUUAAGAAGAUCAAACUGGCUUGGAGGUGGAUCUUCUGGAAAGCCGUUUACGUACGAGAAUAUGUGGCGCAGGCAUGAACAAUAUGAGGAAACUGUUAACAAGACUUAAUAAGAGGAUCUCAGAGUUGUUAGCCCGGGAAGAAGCUACGUCUCGCCAGCACUCUUGGAUUCAGUGGUUGAAAGAGGGUGACAGGAACAUGGCCUUUUUCCAUGCCAAGGCAAAAUAACAAGCAAGCAACAACAAUAUCAGCUCCUUGAAGCGAGAUGAUGGUUCUUUUCGCACCAGCCAACCAGAAUUAGAGUCAAUGACAGGUCAGUUUUUCAACGGAUUGUUCACUGCUCAAGAAAUAGUUGUCCCUGGUGUUGUGACUACAUUUGGUCCCCGUAAGGUGACUGCUCCCAUGAAUGAGGGCCUCUGUGCCCUCUUCCUCGACAUGGAAAAUGAGAAAACGCUCUUCAUGAUGAAACAUACAUGGGGUCAGAUCCGGCUAGACUUUAGCAAAAAGGUAGAAAACAACAAAAUCAGCCCGCAUAGUAUGGCAUCACAUUUACCGAAGGUUGUAGCCUGCGCGUCGAUCAAGGUGGAAAAUCAAACGGCGGGAAAACUACUUCUUGCACAUGGGCCGAGUAGUACACGACAUCUCAUGUUGUUGCUUGCUCGUGAUGAAUCACGCACGCAAGGCGAUCUGCUACACUGCAGGUUUUCAUAUGAAGCCAGUAAAAUUAAUUGGAAGAACCUCCUCAUGUGAAGACCAAGCCACCCCUGGAGUAGUAGUACAAUUGUAGUAGCAAUUAAUUGAUUUGCAUGGGUUGCAAGAUUUUAUCGUUUGAUCAAUCAUUUGCUACUUUGACUUGACGCCGAGACCGCCGUGAUGUUAGACGGCCCCUGUCACGGAUUCAAAGGAAGUGGUGCAGACGUGCAGGAUGGUGACUCAAACACUUGACGAUACCCUAUUUAUUCCUGGAAAUUCCAUGGCACCAACUCUCCCCGUGACCGCUUCUUGAGAUUGGUGACUUUUUUCUUAAAUGGCAUCAAACAACAUGUUUUCUUAUUGUUUUGGAACAUACUAAUUUGGCGGAUAUUAUCUAUCACGGUUUGGAAAAUAGAAAAUUAUGAUAGUACUUUCUAUGAAGAACGUUGAUCACUGUAUUGACUAAAUAAAUCGGAAAUACCAAACUUAAAUGCUACUAUUAAGGAAAAGGAAAUAUAUUAUGGAUAAAAAAUGACUUGCGAAUUAUUUGGGGCCAUUCUAUUUUUUUACUGUUCAAUAUAAGAGUGAAUAUAUUGCAUGGAAAAUAAUGUGCAAUCGGAAAAACUUUUUUUGGUGUGGAACAUCUCUCGGAAAUUAUAGAUAGUUGGUUUCUUAGUGCCAGUCAUAGUUGUCCUAAACUAUAUGCCAAAAUGAUUGGAAUAAUUUUAUAUACACUUGUCAUCAUGAGUGGUUAUUCAAUCAGUCCAAUAUGGGUUCCUUUUUGCUAUGUGGAGGGAGACAAAAAAUUCUUUGAGGGAAUGAUCUGACUAAUUAUGGUUGACUGCACCUUGAAGAGGAAUAUAUAAUUUAUGCUAAUAGAAUUGGCUAAGAGGAAGUGUCUAUUAUGGAGCGGCACUUAUUUAUGGAUGAAGAUGGUUACCACUCCAUGGAAAAGGAAAUUUGAUGAAACUUAAUGGUAUGCCUAUUGCCAAUGUUUGUAUAUAUGUUUAACUGCCACCACUUUUUUCUUCAAAUAGUUGGAUUAUGAUGUUAAUUCAUAUACAUCAUUUAUUGUUGGAAUACCAUAGCAAAUUUAUUUUCAUGCAACAAUUUCAAAGGAAAAUUGAUCUACUUUGGAUUGGAAAUUAUGCCAUGAAACUCCCUUGCAGAGGAAAACUAUUAUUGUUAUAGGACACUAUGUGCAACAUCAAUGAGAAGGGAUUUGAUUUAUUUUUCUAUUUUGGAAUCUAUUGACUAUGUUAUACUAUUUGGAAAAGGAAAAGUGGAAAUAUUGUUUAGUACAAAUUAGUGCAUCAUUGAACUUUACACAAUUUUCUCUUCUUUUUUGAUGGUCCAUUGGAGGUUGGCAACCCAAAUUUUAUUUGAUGAAGAUAGCUCAAUAGAUAGGAAUAUUAAUAAUGGAAACACAUGCCUGGAAUCAUAUUAUUUAUAUCAUCCACGACUUGGUGACAUAUCUUGGAACAGGAUCAAGUGGCAUAUUGAUUUAUUUUUAAUUUUGUACUUUAGUGGGAGGACUAUGGUACUUGUAAAUCAUAUGGUGGUUAUUUUGAUUUAUACACCUUUACUGAAGGUGGAAGGAGAUAAAAAGCUUCAUAUCAUUAUUUAUUUUGAUAUUCUUAUGGUAUUUCUUUGGACACUCCCACUAGAGGUCAUUUUAUUAUCUCAUUCAUUGAUGGUUGCACUAGAUAUGGUUAUGUUUAUACUAUGGGAGCCGCUACGCGUCCACAGGUAGAUGUCUAGUAAACAUCCACCACCUCGACCGCCGUCAGAUCUCUGCGCGUGAGCCGUCAGAUCUAACUCCUCACAUUCGUGUGUCGCCUUCCCGACACAUUAAUUCCUGAAACAACAACCCAGUUGCAGAAACAACGGUCGCGUUGCAGAAACAAUUCCUGAAACAGCGGCCGCGUUGCAAAAACAAUUCCUGAAACAACGACUGUGUUGCAGAAACAACCACCAUGUUGCAAAAAUUUGGAGAUUGCAGAAACAAUUCCUGAAACAACGGCUACGUUGCAAAAACAAUUCCUAAAACAACGGCUGCGUUGCACAAACAACUACCAUGUUGCAUGCGUCAAGCACAUCAGCGCCGACCGCAACAAAGCAGUAGCGCCGCCACUCCAGCUAUUGCAGAAGCACGACGAUGAGUCGUUCCUCGCCUGAAAAGCAACUUGAAGUGAGGGAGCUGGCGGAGAAAAAGAGCAGGAAGGGUAAGACGGAGGAAUCCUACCUCGCCGGCGAACACCGACUGCCGGCGCACAGGGCGGUGGCUGGCUGGCUCGUGUGAGCAGUGGAGUUGUAGAAGCUUGAGGUGGUGGCCGCCAUGGCAUGCUGCAAGAGUUGGGAAAAAAGAGCCGACUGGGAAGGAGAUAAGGAAAGAAGGAUGUAGCGGUGCAAUGGGUCCACAUGGACACGCGUCACGUGCUGGAGGCGGUGGACGCCCAGCAUUGGAUCCGCCGGAUGAUGGUAAGAGUUUGCCUUAUACUAUUUGAAAAUACAAGUCAGAAUGUUUUAUUUUGCUUGUCAUAUUAUGUAUUGAAGUGGGAAAUCAGUUGAUUAAAAGAUCCUAAAGUUUUGACAAUUGAUUGGUGGGGGAAAUAUAGUUCAGGAAUAUAUCAAUUGACAUGUAAAGAGCAAGGAAUUAUUCACCAUCGUAACAUACCGUACACUCCACUACUGAAUGGAAGAAUUGAAUGUCGUUUAUACUCCCUUAUUAGCUUUGUUAAUGAAGCAUUGCAUAAUGUCGUUUGUUGAUAUCAUUCUUCAUCUAGCAUAGUCACUAUAUGUCUUGACUGGAAGGAAUCUUCUAUUUUAGCAUGAAAUUCUCAGUUACUACGAAGCACACACCAGUAAAUUUUUAGUGGUUAUUCUAGUGGAUCAAACUGGUGGAAAAGUAGGAACACAAUAAUUAUUAAGAUAAAGGGUGGACUUAUUGACAAUCAUACUGGACUAUAAUCUUGACCCCAAAGGAAACUACAAGAGUAACACCCGACACUAACAUGCUUAGGAUAAGUGGGAUGAAUUAACUUGGAGUGUCAUCUCUGGAAAUUUUUUAUGUGUUCUUUAGGGGGAAGUCACUCUAAAUUUUAGAGGAAGUUUUUUAAGAAGGCUUAAAUUUAUCAUCAUUGUCAACUAUGGGUGGAACAAAUGCGGGAAGGAACAAAUUCAAUGAGAAAAUAUAUAGUUCAGGGACUUAUUAUCAUACCAAACUACCGCAAGCCCAUUGUUUGUAAGUGUUUUUAAUUUAUUUAAGGAAAUUUGGCUCAUUGGAAUAUUAUAAUGCUCCUCUUGCUAUUAAAUUCUUUGGGCAAAGAUAAAUAUACUUUGUGGAAACUCUCUCUCCUUGAAUUUAGGGAAAGAGGAACUAAUGACAUGGUUUGCUAAUUGAAUACAUUAAUGUAUGGUCUUAUAAGAAGCUUCACAUCAAUGGAAUAGCAGGUCAUAUGGUUUUCUAAAUGAAGCAAGGUGGUCAUCUACAAAUGUAAGUGUAAAAUAUUUUGCAUUAUUAUUGUAUAUGUUAACAUUGUUUUGUUGUUUGCAAUGGUAAAGUCACAUUGAUGGAAGUGAAAGCUUGGUCAUGUUUUAACUUUCAUAUGAAAAGAACGUUUGAAGCUUCCUCUGUUUUAGGAGUGUAACUACAUAGAGUAUGUUUUGAAACGUUUCCUAUGGAAAAUUGCAAAUUGUUAAAGUACCUGGAACCAAACUUAGUGAGGAAUUAUGUUUGAACUCCUGUGGAGAAAGGGAUAAUAAUGGAGUUGAAAUUUACUGUAUCUUCAUUAUGCAAUCAUACCUUAGCUUUCAAAAUUUAUGUUGCAAAUUCAAGUAGUGGGAGGAAAGGUGAGCAACUAAGAGAAUCUCCUACAUCAUAGUAUGACAUUGUGGAAAGUGCAUCACAACCUGUCAAUUAUUCUGGAAUUUAUAUUAAAGGUAAACACAUUGACGAAGCUAUUGUUUUGUCUACAAGAUAAGAAACAAGUCCAGUUACGCAUAUUCAUUUUUUUUGUAGUACUAAUAAGCUGCAGGUUCACUGACACAAGUCAGGAAUUUAUUUCAAAACAUGGUAACUUGUGGAACUUCAUUUACUGAAUGGAUUAGAUAUUUGUGUGGUUUUGAUAACUUCAUUCAACAUGGUUAUUAUCUAUUUGACUCAAUGUGGAAUUAAUCAUAUUAUUGAUAUAUGUGAUGGAAAAUAAUUGAUGCAUAAUUUUACUCGAGGAAGCAAAAUACUCAAGGUGCCUAUAUUUUGUGGGUUUUCAAUGUAGUGUUAAUAUGAUUACUGAUCCCUUGACUAAGCCUCUUAGUCAGGAGGUAUUUGGCAAGCAUGUUAAGGCUAUGGGUUUACGAAUAUUUGAAUGAUUAUUUGGGACAAGUGCGAGAUGUUGGAAUUAUGUGCCAUGCAACUGUAUUCAAAUUAUUAGGAAUUACUAAUAUUCGGAAUACCUUGUUAUGGAAUUAUACAUGUAUUUAUGCAUGAAAUUACUUUACAUGGUUAUUAUGGAAUUAUCACUUGUUGGAAUGUAUUUAAGUUGUAUGCUUAAGAAAACUAGUCAAUUAUCAGUGGAGUGCAAUAUACUAUUUAUAUUGAAAAGACUACCAGGGUAUAGUGAUAAUUGGAAGGAGCUGAUCAUAUAGUUAGAUUACAGCUUAAUAUUGAUCUGCAUAAUUAGAGGAAUUUACACUAUUAUGGCGCGUUGCUCACAAGCGUCUACUCCGGAGACACAAUAGGUAGAAUCCGUUAACAGACAAAUUUGAUCGUGAUUGGUAAUUUGAUCUUGAGUCAAUCCCAGAAAAUAGUUGAAAAGAUUAGAAAUCUUAUUUGUAUAAGAGGUGAACUCUUUGGAAAGACAACAUAAGAAAGUCCCUAACCCUAUCCUCUGAUUUGCGAAUUAUGAGCGAUACCAAGAUAAGCGCUGAGGGAUAUGGGUAGACCACAAAGCUAUUCCCAACACAGACAUGACAUGAAUCAUCCAAAGUUUAUUUUGUGAGCACUGGAGAAAUGUCUGGCCGCCGCCACCAUCCCGCCGGCUGGAUCAUAUUCAUACGUGGUGGUCCGGCCGCCGGUGCUCGCCGCCUUGAUCUUAGGUGGGCGAAAGCAAGCAAACCAAGACGCCACCACCGACCAGAAACCGGAGCCGGAUUUCUUACCGUCUCCCAUGGAACCGAAACCUCUCUAAAACCUCCACGUUUGUUCGUCUCUUUAGACUAGCUGUUCUCUUGUGCCGAUGAGGAGUUGCUGCUGCUGGGCUAGCCUCUUAUAGCAUUGCUUGCUUGGCGACCACGGCGAAUGGUCUCUACACCUGGACAAAACGCUGCUUGGCCGGUCAGCAUGACACUCGACUUGCUGUCCAAGAUGGUACUCCUCGCCUCCGUUCCAAGAAAGAAAUAAAGGCGAUACUCCUAGCUUUGAAUUUUCCUCGCUGGCUGCAUGCACAAGGGGCCAGGAUAGCUGCCAAUCAAUGCAUGCAAAACGUCAGUGUAGCUGCAGGAUAAAAAAAACGGUUGGAUUGAUCGAUCACUUUCACAGCUUACUCGGAGAAAGUUGAUCAAUCAGUCGGUCAAUAGGCCACGUUGCCUAACUCACGAGAAAACAGCGCCGAUCGAGUGCGUGACGCGCGCGGCAGCGUCGUCGCGGGUUUUGCCGCCGGCAGCGCGCCGUCUGGCUCCCUCCUUCGUCAGAAGAGAAGACCAUCUCAUGCUCCUCCUGUUACCUCUGCCUCUUCUUUUUACCCAUUGCGAAAUUACCAUAGAGAAGUUUGGAGCAAGUAUUCGAGCUACCGGUUAAAACCAGUUGCAGAAAUACUCUUCGUUUCUAGCUUCUAUCUGGAUGUUCACGAUCAAAGGAAUUUCCAGGCGGAUUCUAUGGACAUUAUUAGAGGCUAAUGUGUGUCUCGCCGCGCUGUUCUUCACCCAUGGGUUUAACCUUUCUAUCAGGUUAUUGUGGUCGGAUUUUUCUUUUUAAUUUUAUCUUCAUUGAGUUGGGGUUUAUGGCGGUUUUUUUUAUUUCAAUAGGCCUUGUUCGGUUGCCGUGGUUAGAUUCCACGAGUGGUUUCUAACCUCCUAGGGAUCGGGUGAUCCCCUACUUGUCACCCAACCCCCGUUGUUCCUCAUCCACAUGAAUCCCUAUGACCAUAACCUGUUCGGUUACUCCCUUUCUAUAUUCUCCGUAAGCAUAUCAGGUCAGAUCGGGAGGAGGAGAUGGGAAAGAAGAGGGGGAGAGGAGAAGAAGGAGAAGAGGCUUACCGGGUGGGAGAGAAGGGAGGGGUGGGGAAGUAUGCUGCCAUCGUCGCCUUCGGAUGGCUGCGUCGCCGCCGCCGCCGCCGCCACCGAAUCGCGGGAGAGAGAGAGAGGUCGGGGACUCGCGGAGAGAGGGCUCGAACCUUUUCUUCUCGCGUACCGUUUCGUCCAUCGCGAGAGGGAUUGGUUCCACGGGUAGAGGGGCGAGGAUUAUAUCCUGGGUAGUUCCACCUGGUUUGGCAGGGAUUGGGCGGGGGUGUAGCCCCGACCGGGUUUAACCGAACACACUUAUAAAGCAGGCCGGGGUGGAAUCCCGGUCGGGUCGAAACCACGGGGUUCGGCAGGGAUUGGGCGUUGUAGAUGGACAAGAUGUGGGCUGUGCAAUCGCGAUGUAUUGAUCGGUGCAUCAGGCACGUAUAUAUAAGUACAGAGGUGGGCCACAACCUCAACUAUACAGAGGAAACAGGAGGUGGGCCCUACACACAAAUAUACACGUACACAAUAUACUCGACACCCCCCGCAGUCGAAGCGGCGCCAGUGACGCAAAGACUGGAACGAAACUCCUCAAAGAUGGAAGUCGGCAGUCCCUUCGUCAUCACAUCGGCGAACUGUUGUGCAGUCGGCACAUGGAGAACCCGAAUGCGUCCUAGAGCCACCUGCUCACGCACAAAGUGAAUGUCCAGCUCAAUGUGUUUAGUCCGGCGAUGAUGAACGGGGUUGGCGGAGAGGUACACCGCAGAGACGUUGUCGCAGUAGACAACUGUAGCCUGGGAGACGUCGUGAUGCAGCUCCUGAAGUAACUGUCGUAGCCAGGUGCACUCAGCAACAGCGUUGGCCACAACUCGGUACUCAGCCUCCGCGCUGGAGCGCGAAACCGUGGGUUGUCGCUUGGACGACCACGAGACGAGUGAAGGACCGAGGUAGACGCAGUAGCCAGAGGUGGAUCGAGAGUGUCUGGACAGCCAGCCCAGUCCGCGUAGGAGUAGACCAUCAUCUCCAGAGAAGCGGACGCCGUGAGGGUGAGCCCGAGGGUCAUCAUGCCGCGGAUGUAACGGAGGAUCCGCUUCACGAGAGUCCAAUGGGAGUCACGAGGGGCGUGCAUGUGGAGACACACCUGCUGAACAGCAUACUGAAGAUCCAGUCUGGUGAGAGUCAAAUAUUGAAGAGGACCGACGAUAGACCGGUAGAAAGGAGCAUCCGAUGCUGGCAAACCCUCAAGAGCAGAAAUCUUGGCCUUCGUGUCAACAGGAGUAGCAACAGGGUGACAGUUGAGCAUGCCAGCACGCUCAAGAAGCUCGUGCACAUACUUCUGCUGAUGAAGAAGGAAACCGUCCGGGCGCUGAACGACCUCAAUGCCAAGGAAAUAAUGUAGAGCACCCAAGUCCUUGAUGGCAAACUCGUCACGCAGCCGAAGAGUAAUCUACUGAAGAAGAGCCGCGGAGGAGGCCGUUAGGAUGAUGUCGUCGACGUAAAGGAGCAAAUAUGAAGUCGUGUCACCGAGGCAAUAGACAAACAGUGAGGCGUCCGAGCGAGUGACGCUGAAACCCAGUGUCUGAAGAAACCUGGCGAUCCGCUGGUACCAGGCGCGGGGUGCUUGCUUGAGCCCGUAGAGAGAUCGGGACAGCAGACACACAUGGCCAGGAAGUGAGGCAUCGACGAAACCGGUGGGCUGCUCACAAUACACCUGCUCCUCAAGAUGGCCGUGGACAGAACAAAAGAAUUGAAGAUGAGCUCACAUGGAGGCAUUACAUGAGCUCAACUUUGGUGGAGGGCUAUUAUAUGAUGAUAUGAAAGUCCAUGCAAAAUUGCAACUCAUUUGGAUAUGCUUAGCUUGUACCUCAUUCACAAAUUUCUUUUUGGACAAAAACUUUGGAAAAUCAUAAAUAAAUAAUCACUAGGAAAAUGAGGUUGCAUUUUGGCAUGUGGCAAUUAUAUGGACAAGAAAAGGUGUCCAAGGAGUUUGAGGUCAAUUGGGAAAAGGAAAAUAACACUUGCUUCACAAAGUGCCAUUUAGGGUAGAUUAGGAAAUGAAUUAUUGGAGGAUUAUUUUUGAACAUGACAAUGAAAAGUUUUGCCACAUUUGAUGAAGAUAUACCCAAAAAGCUUAUGAUAAUUAUUUGGGAAUUUUAGGAGUGAUUGAAAUAUAGGUUGCUUCACAACCUAGGGCAAUUUGGGUUAUUCCUUUAAUAGAAAAAGGAAUAUUCCCAAUAAAAAGAGUAUUGUGAUUUUGUCCAAGGUGGAAAUGGAAAGGUCUAGGGAGGGAUUUUGAUACGACAAGCCACUCUGGAAAGAAAGAAGAGGUCGUCUUCUUCAGUUUCCAGACCACAAAGCCACUCGAAAAGAAAACUCAGGCAAAAUCCUCAGAAAAUCAAAAGAAAAAGAAAGGGUCAAAAAUCAGGUUGUUACACUUUUCCUACCUCCAAUGGCUAUACGCAUAUUUUGGUUGUUGUUGAUUAUGUUACUAAGUGGGUACAAACUAUUCCAACUAGUAGUGUUGAUCACAACACCUCUAUUAAAAUGCUGAAGGAAGUUAUUUUCCCAAGGUUUGGAGUCCCUAGAUAUUUAUUGACUAAUGGUGAUUCACACUUAUUCAUGGUGCUUUCCGUAAAAUGCUUGCUAAGUAUGAUGUUAACCAUAGAAUAGCGUCACCUUAUCAUCCUCAGUCUAGUGGUCAAGUUAAACUUAGUAAUAGGGAAAUAAAAUUAAUUUUACAAAAAACUCUCAAUAGGUCCCGAAAGAAUUGGUCUAAGAAAUUAGAUGAUGCACUUUGGGCUUAUAGAACAGCAUAUAAAAAUCCUAUGGGUAUGUCUCCUUAUAAAAUGGUUUAUGGAAAAGCUUAUCAUUUGCCUCUUUAGUUAGAACAUAAAGCAUAAUGGGCAAUUAAAGAACUCAAUUAUGAUUUCAAACUUGCCGGUGAAAAGAGGUUAUUCGAUAUUAGCUCACUAGAUGAAUGGAGAACCCAAGCUUAUGAAAAUGCCAAGUUAUUCAAAGAAAAGGUUAAAAGAUGGCAUGAUAAAAGAAUCCAAAAGCGUGAGUUCAAGGUUGGAUAAUAUGUUCAUUUGUACAACUCUCGUUUCAGAUUCUUUGCACGAAAACUCCUCUUCAAAUGGGAAGGGCCCUAUGUUAUCGAGGAGGUUUAUUGAUCUGGAGCAAUAAAAAUAAAUAAUGCCGAAGGUACCAACCCGAAGGUUGUCAAUGGGUAAAGAAUAAAACAUUAUAUCUCAAGUAUGCCCAUUAAUGUUGCACGAAAUAUUAUCCAAGAUAUGACACCGGAAGAACACAUAAAGAAAACCUUCCGGAUCACUCCAGAAUCGUGAAAAAGGAGGAGGUACAUGAUACGGUAAGUAAAUGGACUCCAAAAAAUCCGCAAAAUAUUUUUUGUCAGUUUGGAAUAUUUUAAAAAUUAGGAAAAUAAGAAACAAUCAGAAGGCACCCGUGGUGGGCACAAGACACCAGGGCGCGCCUCGGGUACCUUCUAGACUCCGUUUUUCUUCCGUUUGCUUGUUCCCCAAGAUAAAAAAUAUAUUUAUAUACCCCCCAAAUCUAUUAACCACCGUAUCACGGAGAAAUCCCAUGUUCUCUUUUCCUUGCUGUUUUCUAGCAGAUCUGAAAAUAUGUCGUCCCAAGACUCGGAGGGUGAGAGCUAUGUUGCUGAUUAUAUUGCAAACCCUAAGGCUUAUGGGGAUGUGGAGCACUAUAGCUGGACUUCAGAGGAAGAAGAAGAUUAUGAUCCUAAAGGGGAGGAGGAGACGAGCUCAGACGAGGAUGAAGAUCCGUUGCCCCAACCUGGGGACAUGCACGUGGAACUCAAGAAGUCAAGUCUCCCCAACAAAACAAAGAAACCUAAGAUCCGGUUUAUCCCCUUUCGUCUUUUGCAGGAAAACAAGCAAGAUUUAUGAAAAAAGGUAUUGGAGCUUGAGCAGGAGAUCGGUGAAUUGAAGGAAGAAAAUUCCAUCCUCAAGCGUAAGCUAAGAAAGAAGGACAACGCCCCUACUUCAUCACCGCAGCCUCCUUCUUCAUCACCAAAGGAAAAAUGAGUAUCGGGUAUGGGCACUCCCCUUGGCUUGUGCCAAGAUUGGGGGAGGUGCCCCGGUAUCAUAUCACCUCCACUAUCUUUUGCCUUUACUUAUCUUAGUUAGAUCCUUUCUUUUCGAGUGUUUGCUUAGUGAUCUAUCCUCGUAAUCAUGUGCGAGAUAUAUAAUAAAGUUUAGUUUGAAGUUUUGUUUUCUUUAUUUUCAUGUUCAAUAAAAAUAAAGGAAAUAAAUGAAAAGAUCAUAUGCUAAUAUUAUGGUAAGUAAUGACAUCACAUAAGGAAGAGUAGAAGUAGAAAAUUUUAUUGGAGAUUUACAAACAUAGCAUUGGUCAAUGAUUCAAUUCAUGAAAGAAUUAAUAAGGGAAGAGAAGAUUCACAUGCAAAUACACUAUCCUAGACAUCUUUUGUGAUUGUGAGCCCCUAUCAAAAUAUUAUAUGCCAAAAUUGCUGAAGCUAGACAAGGAAGACAACGUAAUGAUUUAUGUUUGUUCAUAUUCACAUAGAAGUUAUAUUGUCGUAGAUCCUUUAACAUGUGGUGCUUGCCCCCCUACAUUUGCUAGCCAAAAAUUCCGCACUAAGUAGAGAUACUACUUGUGCACCGAAAACCCUUAAACCAAAUCUUGUUUUGAGAGUCCACCAUACCUACCUAUGGAUUGAGUAAGAUCCUUCAAGUAAGUUGUCAUCGGUGCAAUAAAGGCAAUAAAAAUUUCUUCUAAAAGUGAUGGGUCAUUUAGUGUAAGAGAAAAUUGAGUGUUGUACGAACUUGUGAUGGCAAAGACUAAAAGCGAUAGACUGUAUAAUAAAGGUUGGUAUCAUAAGGGGCAAUAUAACAUGACAUUAUUUUGCACUAAGAGAUUGAGCAUACAAACAAAAGCGCAUGACAACCUCUGCUUCCCUCUACGAAGGGCCAAUCUUUUAAUUUAUGUAUUUACUUUUAUGCAAGAUUCAAAGUUUAUCUCUCUAUUCCUUUUUAUUUUCUCUUUUGGCAAGCAUCAUGUGGUGAGGAAAGAUCUAGACAUAUAUAUCCUGUUGGAUAUGGGUAGCAUGAGUUAUUAUUGUUGACAUCACCCUUGAGGUGAGUAUGUUGGGAGGCAAAAUCUAUAAACCCCUAUCUUUCUAUGUGUCCGGUUGAAAUUUUUUCUCAUGCGGUGAGUGUUAGCAAUCAUAGAAGACUAUAUGAUGGUUGAGUAUGUGGACUUCCCAAAAAGGCUCUGAUACAUGACCCUUCCUGAAAAGAUGAUGAAUUGUAGUUGCAAAGUUGACUGAGAACAUAGUUUGUUGGUUUCCAAUAGAGCUUAUGCUUUACACUUCGAUGUUGUGAUGAAUUGUUACUUAUUCAUGAGAAGUUUAUGAUAAAAAAAUUAUGUGAUAAAAGUUUUAUGAUAAAGUUUGUUGCUGUUAUAAUAAUAUACAUGAUGCUUCUAUGUCCGUAUUUUGUUUUUAUCGACACCUCUCUCUCUCUCUAAGCAUGUGGACAUGUUUUCGGUUUUGGUUUUCGCUUGAGGACAAGCGAGGUCUAACCGGGGAGUUGAUACGUCCAUUUUGCAUCAUGUUUACCUACUAUUAUUUAUAAUGUUUUUAUGCAUAAUAAUGCUUUUUGGACUAAUGCUAAUGCCUUUUCUCUCAUAAUAUGCAAGGUUCACACAAAGAGGGAGAAUACAGACAUCUGGAAAUCUGGACCUGAAAAAGCUACAUAAGGCUACCUAUUUUGCACAACUCCAAAUGAGCUGAAACUUUACGGAGAUUUUUAUGGAAUAUAUAAGAAAUAAUGGAGCAAAUAAGUACCAGAGGGGGCCCACCAGGUGGCACAACCCACCUGGGCGCGCCAGGAAGCCCAGGCUCGCCCUGGUGGGUUGUUCCCUCCUCGGCCCACCUCUGGUGUUCCUCUUCUAGUAUAUAAGUCAUUUUGACCUAGAAAAAAAUAAGGGGAGGACUUUAGUAUGAAGCGUCGCCGUCUCGAGGCGGAACUUGGGCAGGAGCACUUUUGCCCUCCGGUGGAGCGAGUCCGUCGGGGGAACUUUCCUCCCGAAGGGGGGAAAUCAUCGUCAUCAUCAUCACCAACAACUCUCCCAUCUUGGGGAGGGAAAUCUCCAUCAACAUCUUCAACAACACCAUCUCCUCUCAAACCCUAGUUCAUCUCUUGUGUUCAAUCUUUGUACCGGAACUAUAGAUUGGUACUAGUAGUGUUGAUUACAUCUUAUAGUUGAUUACUAUAUGGUUUAUUUGGUGGAAGAUUAUAUGUUCAGAUCCAUUAUGCUAUUUAAUAACCCUCUGAUCUUGAGCAUGAUUAUCAUUUGUGAGUAGUUACUUUUGUUCUUGAGGUCACGGGAGAAAUCUUGUUGCAAGUAAUCAUGUGAACUUGAUAUGUGUUCGAUAUUUUGAUGGUAUGUAUGUUGUGAUUCCCUUAGUGGUGUCAUGUGAACAUCGACUACAUGAAACUUCACCAUAUUUUGGCCGAAGGGAAUGCAUUAUGGAGUAGUUAUUAGAUGAUGGGUUGUGAGAGUGAUAGAAGCUUAAACCCUAGUUUAUGCGCUAUUCCGUAAGGGGCUAAUUUGGAUCCAAAAGUUUAAUGCUAUGGUUAUUAUUAUUAAUACUUUUCUUGUAGUUGCGGAUGCUUGCGAGGGGGUUAAUCAUAAGUAAGAGGUUUGUUCAAGUAAGAACAACACCUAAGCACCGGUCCACCAACAUAUCAAAUCAUCAAAGUAGCGAACACAAAUCAAACCAACAUGAUGAAAGUGACUAGAUGAAAUUCCCGUGUACCCUCAAGAAUGCCUUGCUUAUUAUAAGAGACCAUUUUGGCCUGUCCUUUGCCUUAAAAGGAUUGGGCUACCUUGCUGAACUUUUUUUACCAUUACCGUUACUUGCUCGUUACAAAUUAUCUUGCUAUCAAACUACUCGUUACUUAUAAUUUCAGUACUUGCAGAGAAUACCUUGUUGAAAACCGCUUGUCAUUUCCUUCUGCUGCUCGUUGGGUUCUACACUCUUACUUGUCGAAAGGACUACAAUUGAUCCCCUAUACUUGUGGGUCAUCAUGUAGCAAGGUAGCCCAAUCCUUUUUUGUAGCAUAGGACAGGCCGGAACAAUCUCUUAUAAUAGGUAAAAUGUUCUCGAGGACACAUGGGAAUUUCAUCUAGUCACAUUCAUCAUGUUGGUUUGAUUCGCGUUCGCUACUUUCAUAACUUGAUAUGUGGGUGGACUGGUGCUUGGGUGUUGUUCUUACUUUAACAAGCCUCCCACUUAUGAUUAACCCCUCUCGCAAGCAUCUGCAACUAUGAAAGAAGAAUUAAGAUAAAAUCUAACCAUAGCAUUAAACAUAUGGAUCCAAAUCAGCACCUUAUGGAAUAGCGCAUAAACUAGGGUUCAAGUUUCUGUCACUCUAGCAACCCAUCAUAUAAUAAUUACUCCACAAUGCAUUCCCUUAGGCCCAAAUAUGGUGAAGUGUCAUGUAGUCGACGUUCACAUAACACUACUAAGGGAAUCACAACAUACAUAUCAUCAAAAUAUCGAACGAAUGCCAAAUUCACAUGAUUACUUAUGACAAGACUUCUCCCAUGUCCUCAGGGAUAUUAAAUAGUAUAAUAGAUCUGAACAUAUGAUCUUCCACCAAAUAAACCAACUAGCAUCAACGACGAGAUGUAAUCAACACUACUAGCAACCCACAGGUAUUAAUAUGAGGUUUUGAUACAAAGAUUGAAUACAAGAGAUGAACUAGGGUUUGAGAUAAGAUGGUGCUGGUAAAGAUAUUAAUGAAGAUUGGUCCUCCCACGAUGAGAGGGUUGUUGGUGAUGACGAUGGCUUCAAUUUUCCUCUCUCGGAGGAAAGUUUCCCCGGCGAAAUCGCUCCGCCAGCGAGCAAAAGUGCUCUUGCCCCAGUUCCGCCUCAAGGCGGAGGCGCUCCGUCCCGAAAGUCCUCUCCUUAUUUUUUCUAGGGUAAAUGGCCUCAUAUACCAAAAGAUAUGGCAUCGGAGGUUGGCGAGGGAGCCCACCACCCACCAGGGUGCGCCUGGUGGGGUAGGCGCGCCCUAGUGCCUUGUGGGCACCUGGUGGCCCCCUCUAGUACUUCUUUGCUCUAGUAUUUUUUAUUUAUUCCAAAAUAAAUCUCUGUAAAAUUUCAGCUCAUUUGAAGAUGUGCAAAAUAGGUAUCUUUAACAUAGCUUUUCCAGGUCCAGAAUUCUAGUUGUCGGCAAUCUCCCUCUUUGUGUAAACAUUGCAUAUUAUGAGAGAAAAGGCAUUAGAAUUGCUCCACCAAGUGUUAUAUUGCUUGAAAACACUAUAAAUAACACUAGGAAAACAUGAUGCCAAAUGGACGUAUUAGUGGUGUCGACCCUGGCUCGGUGACUGAUGUCGGGCUUUACCUGCCAUGGUUUUGACAUCAUGAAGUGUGUGGUUGGCACUAUCUCGGGGUUUGGAGACUAGGCGGUGGCCCUAGAAGGUGGUUUGCAUGAUGAGUUCUCCCCCGGGCUCCAUGGCGAUGGUGGUGGCUAUGUCUCUUCGCUGUGUGGGUGGCGAGAGAGUUAGCCGUGGGUGAUUCGGGCGCACCCAAGUUUUCAAGGCUCCCCAAUCUGGAUCUAGGGAUCUGUGCUCAUCAAGCUUGCCCGGGUGGCCUACCGGCAUUGAGGAGCAGCCGAGUGAAAAGUCCACCUUUGUCGGCAAUGAUGGCAACACUCGCGAGCGCCGCUUUCUUCUUGAAGAUGUCGUUGUGGUGCUCCUCUCCAUGUACGGGCUCCGGGUGAAAACCUAUGCCUGUUCUGGACUCGGCAGCAGCUACUCUUUUUGUCGUUUUCCCUCCUGAGGGCAUUAUCAUGGAACGUAGGUGUACUAGGGCGUAGUGUGGCAUUGUCAUCAUUUAUUCCUUUGUGUUUUUUUGGUUCUGUAGUCGCGAGCGUUAUGCGUGAUCCGGUUAUCCUAGAAUCGGCUUUGUAAGAGGGAUGCCCCUCCAUUUUGUAUCAUCUAGUCGUGUACCGUGUUUGCCUGUUGCUUUAUAUAUAAAGCGGGACAAAAGCGUGUUUCGGGGUACGGGAGCACUCUAGCUCAUACAUGAUCGAUGCCUUAAAAGUGUUGCUCUUUGUCUUCAGAAGGUUUUUUUUGCGAUUAUGUCUUAAGAAGGUGGGAGAGCCACAAGCACACAUAGGGCCGGGGUGUUAGAGAAUGGUUAGUAAUACAGUCAACUGUUGGCUAUAUGAAGUUGGCAUGUCAUACAUAGUCACCACAUGUAGUCAGUUAUACAACAAAGUUAGAUAUAAUGUUGGUUAUAAAAGUAGUACUCCCCUCAUCCAUAUAUAUAGGGCCUAAUGCGUUCUACGAGAUUGUCUAUGACUAUUGAUAAUACUAAUAGUAUAUGUGAUUUAUAAUGUGAAAAUUAUAUCAUUAGAAGGUCGUUUCACAUACAAAUUUGACGGUAUGCUUUGUGCAACUUCCAUGUCAUAUAUUAUUGCUCUAACAUGUGGUCGAAGUUAGCCUUGAAAAACACAUUAGGCCCAUAUAGAUGGAUAGAGGGAGUACUUUUUUUCACCUUCUCUCCAUCUCUUUUUUAUAUUUAUAGUGCAUCUAUUUAGGAAUGCGUGUAAAGUUUGGCUCUUGCAUGAGAGUCCAUUCUCUUUAAAAAAAUUAUGUCUCUUUCCUCCAUAUAAGCAAAAUUGUCAAUUAAGCGGGCUUUGCUCUUACAUGGGCUUGGGCCCUUGGUCAGGGGAUGCGGCCUGGUCACGAAUCAUGUAUAAAAGAAGACAUUGUUUAUCAAAACUAAUGUAUUUAUUUCAUAGAGAAGCCGUGGCUAUAUAAAAAAGAUAUUGUAUUAAUUUUUUGCAUCUAAUGCAUUAAGUUGGCAAUAGGUGCUAUUGACACAGAAGAUGUUGUUCCGACAAUCCAGGAUAUAAUUGACAAUCAAAAUAUUGAUAGAAAAUAUUAUUUAUUUACCAUUAAUUUUAUGCCAUAAAAAGAUCCCCAGUAUGCAUCUAUAUAACUCGGUGAAAGAAACAAUGCAAUGCACAAAAAAAGAUAAGAAGAUCAACUGGGCAUAAAACAAAGCAUUAGCGGGGCUCUCGAAAUGGCAAUCUCAAAGAAGAACACAAGCGCCCUGAUUUUGAUGGCCCUCAUAGUCAUGGCCACUGUCCUCUCCUCGUGCAACGCAAACAAUGAGGUUAUGUUACAUCCAUCCCUUUUCUCACCCCAUGAAGACAACUUCAUGCGCAUUCUAUAAUAGUGAACUCCCCAUAAAAUUUAUAUAUAUCUAGUAUUGGGGAAACAUAAGAUGGUGAAUAACCUUCCACAAAAUUGGCCUCACAAUGUGUGUUUUUGUGUUUGCGGAUACAGAUAGAUGCUCUCCCCCUACCCGAUAAAUGCUACAGCACGGAACUCCCUAACUGCACAAAGGAGGCGUGCAAGAAACUUUGCAACAGCCCAGGGGGGUAUUGCAGGCUCGCAUCCGACUGUUGUUGCCCUGUUUCCUAAAUGGGGCUGAAAUGAUACAAAGAUGCCAUGAAUAAUUCAAUGCAUGUAUGGAUUAUAUAUGUUAGUUCUAGCAUAUCGAUAUAAAUCCUUUUUAUCAUCUUCAGAAUUUACAAA
RNAcentral lists this long non-coding RNA (33527 nucleotides) under Triticum aestivum (bread wheat). Its description in RNAcentral is "long non-coding RNA (TAES_LNC007639)". The record is from RNAcentral. Lineage: Eukaryota; Viridiplantae; Streptophyta; Magnoliopsida; Poales; Poaceae.